Molecule: non-coding RNA, 314 nt
Organism: Phascolarctos cinereus (koala)
Lineage: Eukaryota; Metazoa; Chordata; Mammalia; Diprotodontia; Phascolarctidae
Source: RefSeq, a predicted model, not a curated record
CUGGUAUGAAGGCUGCUAAUGGACUGGUAUCCAAGGCCGUCUUUGCUCACUGCCGAAGAGCUGCUAGCAUUGGUGCCCCAGGUGAAGAAACUAGGACUUGGAGAAAGUUUGAGAGACAUGCCCACGAUAACAUAGUGUCAGAAGGAGGAUUCGAACCCAGAACUUUUCUGAUUCCAUGUCUAGCAGCCUUCCCACUACACCACUGAAGACCUCUAAUGUCACAGAAUUCACCAACGCCUCAGGUCCGCUGCUCUUUUCCCAGAGGACUGCUUGGGACUGGUUCCACAUUCCACCUGGGGCUAACUCACCUGCAC